This is a long non-coding RNA of Pseudophryne corroboree (corroboree frog), 512 nucleotides long. RefSeq lists it as uncharacterized. NCBI's taxonomy places the organism in Eukaryota, Metazoa, Chordata, Amphibia, Anura, Myobatrachidae. The transcript has 3 exons. The record is from RefSeq and is a predicted model, not a curated record.
AAGGCCACUGAUGCAGCUGGCUCACAUGCUGGGAGGGACACACACUUCCUGUGGUUGACACACCCCCACAGCUGGAAUGCAGGUUGCUAAGCAACAGAAAAUGAAUGCAACCCUAGCUUGGCGCCUCCUGGUGACGUCGGGAUCCAGUGACGUCAGUUGCCUGCGCGCGGACCCGGCUGCACCGAGCGGCGUGGAGUAGAAACGUUCCCACAGCAGAGUAUGCAGAUCACUUCCUCCAGGAGCCGCAUGGUGGGAAAUACAGAGAUGACACAUCUGCCCAACGUUCCAGCCUGACAGAAAGCGGUGACCAUGGUCUGAGGAGGGCCGCAGGACGGACAGCUGUUCUGUGACAUUUCCAGUGAUUAUGAGAAACAUGUACCAGGAACUGUGGGAAACUCUGAGUAUAAAGUGUUUCCCAAAAAUUAUUUGUUAUUCUAAGUGUUACAUCUCGGGGCAGCUUUCCACUAUGGCUUAAUAUAAACCACGUGUUGUGGCAUCAUAAAACGCACCAA